Long non-coding RNA from Canis lupus familiaris (dog), 2183 nucleotides. RefSeq lists it as uncharacterized. Lineage: Eukaryota; Metazoa; Chordata; Mammalia; Carnivora; Canidae. The record is from RefSeq and is a predicted model, not a curated record. The transcript has 3 exons.
GGGUGUAGGGAAGCAAAAAAAACAAAAAACAAAAAACAAAAAACACACCCAAAGCAAAAUCCUGCCUGAAUGCAGUGAAUUCAAACCGGUUCUGAAUUAAGCCUAGAGAAUCUAUUGAACACUAUUGAGAUACUGAGAUUCAGUGGAUCUUUUGCUUAAUUUGUGGUUUUUAGUCUUGCCAGCGAAGAGGAAAUCUGACUUCAAGACGAGUGCGGUCAACAUAAAUGGAAACUUGAAAGGUGCCAGUGUCAGAAACUAAUUUGAGGUCUCAGGACUGGGCAAGAAUUAGGCUGAGGGCGCGCGCACACCAGCGACCUGCAAGUAUGUCUGCAUAGGAAAACACAGUAUAUAUAAAGGCUCGGUACUACCCGUGGUUUGCAGCAUCUACUUGGGGUUUUGGAAGAUAUUUCCCUCAGGUCUGCAGUUUCCAGAAAUCAAGUAUUAAAAUUCGACAAAGCAGUGGAUGCUUGGCCGGCUCUGUCGGUGGAGUACGUGACCCUUGAUCUCAGGAUCAUGAGUUCAAGCCCCACACUGGGCGUGGAACCUACAUUAAAAACAAAACAACUAACACAUUCCUGGUUCUUACUUCUCUCACACACAGUAAUGAAGGCAACGGAUUAUAACCCAUGAGAUGGUACUAGAAUCCCUAAGUCCCCACUGAUAUGGACAAGUGGAUAAACAAAUGGAGGAGUAGGGACAGCUCUUCCUUACAGUCAAAAGCUAACUAGUAAGUGUAGAAUGAAUGAAGGAGUUGCAAAAAUCUCCCCGUGGCUCCCUAGUAACAGCUGUUUCUGGCAAGAAUUGUGUAUGGAUGCAAAAACUAGUGGAGAAAAGGAUUGAAAAAUGGAAUCUUUACAUAGUUCAAAAAUAUCACUAAUUGAUUACAAAACAAAAAACACCACAUUUCCAGCAGAGAAACCUGCAGCAUCCACCCCAGCCAGGCGGCCCUGGCCAACAGUACAGUGUUGGGGUGAGUCCAUACCGUGUGCCUCCUGAAAGGAUGCCCUGGGGGCAGCCCGGGUGGCUCAGCGGUUUAGCGCCGCCUUCGGCCCAGGGUGUGAUCCCUGAGACCCCGGAUUGAGUCCCACGUCAGGCUUCCCGCAUGGAGCCUGCUUCUCUCUGCCUGUGUCUCUGCCUCUCUGUGUGUGUCUCUCAUGUAUAAAUAAGUGAAAUAUUAAAAAAAAAAAAAAAAAAAAAAGGAUACCCUGGGAGGAACAUAACAGCACUCCUGCGGUUCUGCCAAGAAGGCCUCACCUGACAGGAAUAACGAGGCAACAUCAGAGAAACCCAAACUGGUAGACGUUCUACAAAAUACCUGGCCUGUGUUUUUCACAGGGGAAGGCUCACGAAGGCAAAAGGCUCAGGCACUGUCCCAGAUUGGAAACGAUUCAGCAGACACAACAACUAACUGUCGUGUAGGAUCGUGGAGCAGUAGGAAGAGAGCAGCGGGACAACUGGCAAGCUCCGAAUGGCUGAAGAGUCCAUUAUCUCUCAUGCACGUCAUCUUUAAGUGUUGACAACUGCAUUCUGUCAUAGUCUUAGGAAGGGCGUACUGAAGGAUUUAGAGGACAUCGUGUCUCUGCAGGUUACUUUCAAACAUUAGGAAAAGACUCAUGUCUUCCCAUCUGUGUGUGUGUGCGCGUGUGUGUGUGAAAACAGAGAGUCGGAGAGAAAGAAUGAUAAAGCAAGGAUAGUAAAAUGUUAACAUUUAGGGAAUCCAGGUGAAGAGUAUGCAGCUUUUUACUUGUUCUAUUUGUGCCAACUUUUUGGAAGUUGAAAUUAUUUUGAUAUAAAAAUUUCAGGGGCCCCUGGGUGGUUCAGUGGGUUAAGCAUCUGCUCAGGUCAUGAUCCCGGGGUCCCUGCUCAGAAAGGAGCCUGCUUGUCCCUCUCCCUCUCUCUCUCUCUUUCUCUCUCUCUCUCUCUCUCUCUCUCUCUCAUUCAAAUAAAUAAAUCUCUAAAAAAAUUUAAAUAUAAACCACGAAUUGUUUUAGCCUCUUUGUGGUGUCACUCUUAGUAAAGAAAUGGUCAAGGAGUUAAGUUUCCAGAUCUGAGCCCACAGGAGUUCCAUGGCCGAACCAUACUUCCAAGGGCAUUGUACGCCAUGCACUGAGCCCAGGGACAGGGGAGUACAAAGAAAUGGCCAGUCCAUUUAGUCGCUGGUGGAAAGACUUUUCACUCUGAGA